GAGCCCAACCUUCUGGUGCUGCAAAUCAUCUUGAAGGUCCUGCUCCCCUGGACCACAUCCAGGGAGGUACAUGAGCGGCUGAGGGCAGUGGGAAGGAUCAGGUGGCUGAUGGAAUUCAUGGGGUCUCAGUGCAAAUUCCAGGAAGUGGAGGAGUUCAGAGUCCUGGGCCAGCUGGUGGGGUGUCUCACUCUGUGCUGUGUGGAGCAGGAGCAGGAGAUCUGGCAAUCGGCUGUGGAGGGACUUCACCACCUCUUCUCCUUCAUGCAGCUGCUAA
This is a long non-coding RNA of Mauremys reevesii (Reeves's turtle), 274 nucleotides long. RefSeq lists it as uncharacterized. Lineage: Eukaryota; Metazoa; Chordata; Testudines; Geoemydidae. The record is from RefSeq and is a predicted model, not a curated record. The transcript is spliced from 3 exons.